This 655-nucleotide ribosomal RNA is filed under the name Scytodes sp. 12 YFL-2022a. RNAcentral describes it as "SSU rRNA". It matches the Rfam family "Eukaryotic small subunit ribosomal RNA", at positions 1011 to 1689 of the family's 1831-position model. RNAcentral also lists the same sequence under 2 other names. The record is from RNAcentral. Lineage: Eukaryota; Metazoa; Arthropoda; Arachnida; Araneae; Scytodidae.
GAUACCGCCCUAGUUCUAACCAUAAACGAUGCCAACCAGCGAUCCGCCUGGGUUCCUCAAAUGACUCGGCGGGCAGCUUCCGGGAAACCAAAGUGUUUGGGUUCCGGGGGGAGUAUGGUUGCAAAGCUGAAACUUAAAGGAAUUGACGGAAGGGCACCACCAGGAGUGGAGCCUGCGGCUUAAUUUGACUCAACACGGGAAAACUUACCCGGCCCGGACACUGGAAGGAUUGACAGAUUAAGAGCUCUUUCUUGAUUCAGUGGGUGGUGGUGCAUGGCCGUUCUUAGUUGGUGGAGCGAUUUGUCUGGUUAAUUCCGAUAACGAACGAGACUCUAGCCUACUAAAUAGGCGUUCCGAUCCCUUGCGUCGGACGCUCUUCUUAGAGGGACAAGCGGCGUUUAGCCGCACGAGACAGAGCAAUAACAGGUCUGUGAUGCCCUUAGAUGUCCGGGGCCGCACGCGCGCUACACUGAAGGAAUCAGCGUGUGCUCUCCCUGUCCGCUAGGACUGGGUAACCCGUUGAACCUCCUUCGUGAUAGGGAUAGGGGCUUGUAAUUGUUCCCCUUGAACGAGGAAUUCCCAGUAAGCGCGAGUCAUAAGCUCGUGUUGAUUAUGUCCCUGCCCUUUGUACACACCGCCCGUCGCUACCUCCGAU